Molecule: ribosomal RNA, 260 nt
Filed under: uncultured eukaryote
Lineage: Eukaryota
Description: partial 18S ribosomal RNA
Source: RNAcentral
CUUUUUGAAAAUCUUGAAGAAUACUCCAAAUUUCUGAUAGUUGCAAGUAAGCAUUUCAGGUUGUUGACAGACACAAUUUGAGGUGAUCUCCAGAAAGUAUUUUAGAAGAUGUCAGCAACAAAAAGAUUUGGAGCAGCAACUUGGUCAUAAUUAGGGACAAAUGUCCAUAUUUCGACAAAAUUGCGUGAAAUUCGCCAACAAGUUUCUGCCAAACUUAUUUUGUUACUUGGAACCAGGUUCCCAGGUUCCACCACUAAUUC